RNAcentral lists this ribosomal RNA (483 nucleotides) under uncultured bacterium. RNAcentral's name for it is "bacterial SSU rRNA". It matches the Rfam family "Bacterial small subunit ribosomal RNA", at positions 26 to 507 of the family's 1533-position model. The record is from RNAcentral.
GACUCCGUGGCUACGAGGACGAACGCUGGCGGCGUGCUUAACACAUGCAAGUCGAACGGUGAACCAGGGCUUGCCCUGGGGAUCAGUGGCGAACGGGUGAGUAACACGUGGGCAACCUGCCCCUGACUCUGGGAUAACUCCUCGAAAGAGGUGCUAAUACCGGAUACGACCACUUCGGGCAUCCGAUGGUGGUGGAAAGAAUUUUGGUCAGGGAUGGGCCCGCGGCCUAUCAGCUUGUUGGUGGGGUAACGGCCCACCAAGGCGACGACGGGUAGCCGGCCUGAGAGGGCGACCGGCCACACUGGGACUGAGACACGGCCCAGACUCCUACGGGAGGCAGCAGUGGGAAAUAUUGCGCAAUGGGCGAAAGCCUGACGCAGCGACGCCGCGUGAGGGACGACGGCCUUCGGGUUGUAAACCUCUUUCAGCAGGGACGAAGCGAAAGUGACGGUACCUGCAGAAGAAGCACCGGCUAACUACGUG